Molecule: unclassified non-coding RNA, 184 nt
Filed under: uncultured Trichocomaceae
Lineage: Eukaryota; Fungi; Ascomycota; Eurotiomycetes; Eurotiales; Trichocomaceae
Description: sequence contains ITS1
Source: RNAcentral
CCGAGUGUGGGCCCCCUCGCGGGUCCAACCUCCCACCCUUUGCCUGUAAUACACCCUGUUGCUUCGGCGGGCCCACUGGGGAUACCCGGUCGCCGGGGGGCUUUGCGCCCCCGGGCCCGCGCCCGCCGAAGCGCCCUGUGAACCCUGCAGAAGAUAGGCUGUCUGAGUCACAUGAAAAUUGUCA